RNAcentral lists this ribosomal RNA (690 nucleotides) under Fusarium bactridioides. RNAcentral describes it as "SSU rRNA". The stretch from base 93 to 690 matches the Rfam family "Bacterial small subunit ribosomal RNA", at positions 1 to 937 of the family's 1533-position model. The record is from RNAcentral. Lineage: Eukaryota; Fungi; Ascomycota; Sordariomycetes; Hypocreales; Nectriaceae.
GCUAACGGCUGAACUGGCAACUUGGAGAAGUGGCAAGUCUUCCAGUAUGGGGAGCAAAACAGCUAUGGGUCAAGUCCGAUAUCUUUAGGAGGCGCGAAGCUCCUCUUAUUGUGAGGGCGAGUUUUAUAACACCAUAGGACUGGCCGCCCCAUAUGAAAAGAUUAUAUUAGAAUUGAAUGAAGCUUUGUUUAUAUAUUGAUAAUGACAGUAUAUAUAUCGUGUCUUGACUAAUUGCGUGCCAGCAGUCGCGGUAAUACGUAAGAGACUAGUGUUAUUCAUCUUAAUUAGGUUUAAAGGGUACCCAGACGGUCAAUAUAGCUUAUAAAAUGUUAGUACUUGACUAGAGUUUUAUGUAAGAGGGCAGUACUUGAGGAGGAGAGAUGAAAUUUCGUGAUACCAAAGGGACUCUGUAAAGGCGAAGGCAGCCCUCUAGGUAAAAACUGACGUUGAAGGACGAAGGCACAGAGAACAAACAGGAUUAGAUACCCAAGUAGUCUUUGCAGUAAAUGAUGAAUGCCAUAGGUUAGAUCUGUGUUGGUAGUCUAGUUGAGUUAGUUUACUAAACUAAUGAUCUAUACAAGCCAGCCUUAGAUUUGGUCUAUAAAUGAAAGUGUAAGCAUUUCACCUCAAGAGUAAUGUGGCAACGCAGGAACUGAAAUCACUAGACCGUUUCUGACACCAGUAGUGAAG